Molecule: ribosomal RNA, 513 nt
Filed under: uncultured bacterium
Lineage: Bacteria
Description: partial 16S ribosomal RNA
Rfam family: Bacterial small subunit ribosomal RNA
Source: RNAcentral
GAUGAACGCUGGCGGCGUGCCUAAUACAUGCAAGUCGAGCGAACAGACGAGGAGCUUGCUCCUUUGACGUUAGCGGCGGACGGGUGAGUAACACGUGGGUAACCUACCUAUAAGACUGGGAUAACUUCGGGAAACCGGAGCUAAUACCGGAUAAUAUUUCGAACCGCAUGGUUCGAUAGUGAAAGAUGGCUUUGCUAUCACUUAUAGAUGGACCUGCGCCGUAUUAGCUAGAUGGUAAGGUAACGGCUUACCAAGGCAACGAUACGCAGCCGACCUGAGAGGGUGAUCGGCCACACUGGAACUGAGACACGGUCCAGACUCCUACGGGAGGCAGCAGUAGGGAAUCUUCCGCAAUGGGCGAAAGCCUGACGGAGCAACGCCGCGUGAGUGAUGAAGGUCUUCGGAUCGUAAAACUCUGUUAUUAGGGAAGAACAAACGUGUAAGUAACUGUGCACGUCUUGACGGUACCUAAUCAGAAAGCCACGGCUAACUACGUGCCAGCCGCCGCCGUAA